This is an RNA transcript of Cavia porcellus (domestic guinea pig), 2090 nucleotides long. It is a transcript of the gene named DnaJ heat shock protein family (Hsp40) member C12, with no coding region annotated. The transcript is spliced from 5 exons. Lineage: Eukaryota; Metazoa; Chordata; Mammalia; Rodentia; Caviidae. The record is from RefSeq and is a predicted model, not a curated record.
AAGCGGCGCUCACAACCGUCUCUAUUGACAACUGUGGCGUCGUCGGCUGCGGAUCUAGAACUGGCUCUUCUCCUUCCGAAAGUGCUGGUAUAUUCAAAUCUGAAGAAGUUUCCGUUCUAUUAAUUCGGACUCGUGUCUCUGGUUUCCGAGGAGUAAAGAGAGAAGGAUUAACUCAUCCAAAUGGACGCAAUACUGAAUUACAGGCUAGACGACAGUGAAGAUUACUACACGCUGCUGGGCUGUGAUGAGCUCUCUUCGGUUGAACAAAUACUGGCAGAAUUUAAGAUCAGGGCUUUGGAAUGUCACCCUGACAAGCAUCCUGAAGACUCCAAAGCUGUGCAGACUUUUCAAAAACUGCAGAAGGCCAAGGAGAUUCUGACCAAUGAAGAGAGCCGAGCCCGCUAUGACCACUGGCGAAGGAGCCAGAUAGCAGUGCCAUUCCAGCAGUGGGAAGCUUUGACUGACUCCAUGAAAACGUAUAAUCCCUCUGGAAGGAAACAUUGAUUGGGAGCACAAGGCCCACCCUAAAGGCAAGACAAACCACAGGGCAGCUGGGCAGCAGCACACACACAGGCUCUGGUCUACACACACAGCUUGCUUCUCCUCGUGGGGAAUUCUUCCAGCAAGUCUCAGCCUUAGAGUGACACAAGUGAUGAAACUGUAACGGAUACUUUUCUCUGUUAACUAGCUAUUUAUUUCUUUUUCUAGAAGAUCCUUCUGAUAGUUUCAUUUGUAAUACAUUAUGAGAAUUCACCCAGGUCAAUGAACAUUCCAGCAAUAUACAUUUAGACAUGUGUUGGUUGAAGGCAAGACUGUGGGAGAAGGUUUUCAGUGAUUCCAGCCUUUGGAAUCCUGAGACAGCUUGAAAACAAGAGACCUUUCUAGCUCUAAGAAUGUAGGGAAAUUAGUCUGCGCCAUUCUGGGUAUGAAUGACUCUCUCUCUGUUUUCAAAAUAUGUGUCAGAAUGGCAUGAGGAGGGCUUCUGAAAAGUGGUUACAGCAGAGCCACGGUCAAAAUGAAGCUCUUAAGACAAAUAUCAUAAGCUGAUAAAAAUAUUGCUGUCAUAUCAUUUGCUAUAAAUGAUAUAAGGAGUCAAUAGAAAUACAUUCUUGGUGAAUUGUUUGACAAACUGAUUGUUCAUGGGGUGCCAUUUGGGGCUUCCCAUCACCCUAUGUCAUCCCAUGUCUAUUGAUUGUUUCUGGGUUCCCGCUGGGUGAGGUGACUUUGGGAUGAGUCCAGUUGACCACAGACUACAAGGAAGUUUCCUACUGGGCCCACAUGGCCACAAUUUCUCUAACCAGAUGGGAAACAGUGUGCAAUCCAGCACCUUCUGGGCCUGUUUGAAAGGCAAUCUGUGUUAAUUGGAUAUUAUCCAAAAGCAGGCCAGAAAUCACUCCUGGAGAUCCAGGAUGAAAGUAACCAGUUGAUUUUGCAUAGUUACUCAGCUCAGCUAUGGCACUUCUGAGUCGACUGCUUUUUUCUUUUCUAUUUGUUGCAAUGUUUAACCUCUUAUGUAUAAAAACAAAAUUAUUUGCUAGUGCUGACCAAAGUUUGAAUGUUGGAGAAUAACUCCUGAAAGAAGGGCAGGAGGGAAAGGGACAGGGAGAGGAAGAGGCUCAUUAAAGAAAGCUGGCAAACAAGGUAAUUAUGAAGGUGGACUAAUAAAAUACCAGGUUCACAGACUUCCGGAUUAGUGGCCUUUGUAUCUGAGCUUGCUUUCAUAUGCUGUUAGCUUGCGUCAUGCACACACUGACUUUCUGCCUUGUGCUGUACAUUAUUUUGCUGUACAGAUUCUCCCUUUCCUAGUCUCCUUUUUAGUCUGUAUCAACGAUCACUUUGGCCCACUCUGUUGAGAUGCAUCACUAUGCCACAGAUUAGUUCGUCUGAUGUGAAAUGGUGUUCUGUGCAUCCAGCGCCUUUGUGGAGUCCAGCAGUCUGUGAACACAGAUCAAUGCACUGGGCUGUCAGAGGUAAGAAAGAUCUGAUGCUGGAAGAAUCUGACCAGACCCAUACCAAGAAGAUUAAAAAUGAAGAAGGGAAAGAACAAGGAGAAAUAAAGGAAGAGGAACUGGGUUCAACCACAGAGAAAA